Odocoileus virginianus texanus is the source of this 873-nucleotide non-coding RNA. Lineage: Eukaryota; Metazoa; Chordata; Mammalia; Artiodactyla; Cervidae. The record is from RefSeq and is a predicted model, not a curated record.
UCAGAGUUUCCUUGCUUUUGAUGACUUUAAUACUUCUGCAGAGUGCUCACUAGGAAAUUUUUAGAAUGUACCUCAGUUUGAGUUUGAAGUUUGUCUGAAGUCUGUCUCUGAUUGAACAGGGUUUAUGGAUUUGGGGAAGAAAAUCCAGUGAGACAAAGUACCGUUCUUAUUGCAUUAUAUUGGAUACACACCAUCACUGUGACAUCACUACUGAUGCCGACUUUGACCACUGGCUAAGGUCACAUGUGUCAGGACUCUCAACAAGUUAGCCUUAUCUCCUCUAUUUCCACAGCUUACUCUUUAGAAGAAAGCCUCUGCACGCUGCGAAUUUAAGGAGUAGGUUGUUAUGCUCCAUCUCCUUGAGGAUAUAGUUAUAACCCAAUGUACGUUCAUCAUCUUGUGCUCAGACUGUCCGGCUUUGGCCACUAGAAGCUUUGCUACGGUGCCCCUUUGACAUGUCUCCACCAUUGACGGGGUGGCAGUUGGAACAGGGAUUUUUGUUGCUUCAGUCACCCUUAUGGAAAAGGAUCAAGUCCAACCUGCUUACUCAAUCUGGCCUCUGCUACCUUUGGGACUCAGCUGUUCUGCUUGUGGCUCCACUGACCCUGUCACUCACCAGCCCACCUGCUCCUCCCACCCAUUCAUCCCUGCCCUGAUCCAGGACUUUCUUCCUCCUGGGACCAUCCUCUCUGCUCCUCUUAGAAGCCAGGCCAGGUAAGUUUCCCAGAGUGAAAGGAAGUUGGAAUAUAUGAGAACUCGCUCAAGGAAGAAUUCUCGUAGCUGGCCAGCAAGAAAGCAUCCUGUACCACUAAGACCAGCUUACUUAGCAUUUGACUAGAUGUGAGUAUUUGUGGGAAUUCCCUGGUAGCUCAG